UAGAAUCAUAGAAUCAUAGAGUUGGAAGAGACCACAAGGGCCAUCGAGUCCAACCCCCUGCCAAGCAGGAAACACCAUCAGAGCCCUCCUGACAGAUGGUUGUCAAGCCUCUGCUUAAAGACCUCCAAAGAAGGAGACUCCACCACACUCCUUGGCAGCAAAUUCCACUGUUGAACAGCUCUUACUGUCAGGAAGUUCUUCCUAAUGUUUAGGUGGAAUCUUCUUUCUUGUAGUUUGGAUCCAUUGCUCCGUGUCCGCUUCUCUGGAGCAGCAGAAAACAACCUUUCUCCCUCCUCUAUGUGACAUCCUUUGAUAUAUUUGAACAUGGCUAUCAUAUCACCCCUUAACCUCCUCUUCUCCAGGCUAAACAUGCCCAGCUCCCUUAGCCGUUCCUCAUAAGGCAUCGUUUCCAGGCCUUUGACCAUUUUGGUUGCCCUCCUCUGGACACGUUCCAGUUUGUCAGUGUCCUUCUUGAACUGUGGUGCCCAGAACUGGACACAGUACUCCAGGUGAGGUCUGACCAGAGCAGAAUACAGUGGCACUAUUACUUCCCUUGAUCUAGAUGCUAUACUCCUAUUGAUGCAGCCCAGAAUUGCAUUGGCUUUUUUAGCUGCCGCGUCACACUGUUGGCUCAUGUCAAGUUUGUGGUCAACCAAGACUCCUAGAUCCUUUUCACAUGUACUGCUCUCAAGCCAAGUGUCACCCAUCUUGUAUUUGUGCCUCUCAUUUCUUUUGCCCAAGUGCAAUACUUUACAUUUCUCCCUGUUAAAAUUCAUCUUGUUUGUUUUGGCCCAGUUCUCUAAUCUGUCAAGGUCAUUUUGAAGUGUGAUCCUGUCCUCUGGGGUGUUAGCCACCCCUCCCAGUUUGGUGUCAUCUGCAAAUUUGAUCAGGAUGCCCUUGAGUCCAUCAUCCAAGUCGUUGAUAAAGAUGUUUAAUAAGACCGGGCCCAAGACAGAACCCUGUGGCACCCCACUAGUCACUCUUCUCCAGGAUGAAGAGGAACCAUUGAUGAGCACCCUUUGGGUUCAGUCAGUCAGCCAGUUACAAAUCCACUGAGUGGUAGCAUAGUCAAGACCGCAUUUUACCAGCUUCUUUACAAGAAUAUCAUGGGGCACCUUGUCAGAUGCCUUGCUGAAAUCAAGGUAGACUACAUCCACUGUGUUCCCUUCAUCUACCAGGCUUAUAAUUCUGUCAAAAAACGAGAUCAGGUUAGUCUGACAUGACUUAUUUUUCAGAAAUCCAUGCUGACUAUUGGUGAUCACAGCAUUCCUUUCUAGGUGCUCACAGACUGUUUGCUUAAUGAUCUGCUCCAGAAUCUUCCCUGGUAUUGAUGUCAGACUGACUGGGCGGUAAUUAUUUGGGUCCUCUCUUUUC
This is a non-coding RNA of Podarcis lilfordi (Lilford's wall lizard), 1374 nucleotides long. NCBI's taxonomy places the organism in Eukaryota, Metazoa, Chordata, Lepidosauria, Squamata, Lacertidae. The record is from the annotation of a GenBank genome assembly.